RNAcentral lists this ribosomal RNA (253 nucleotides) under uncultured bacterium. RNAcentral's name for it is "partial 16S ribosomal RNA". It matches the Rfam family "Bacterial small subunit ribosomal RNA", at positions 524 to 776 of the family's 1533-position model. The record is from RNAcentral.
UACGUAGGGUGCGAGCGUUAAUCGGAAUUACUGGGCGUAAAGCGUGCGCAGGCGGUUCGUUGUGUCGGCGGUGAAAGCCCCGGGCUCAACCUGGGAAUGGCCGUUGAAACUGGCGAACUGGAGUGUGGCAGAGGGGGGUGGAAUUCCGCGUGUAGCAGUGAAAUGCGUAGAGAUGCGGAGGAACACCGAUGGCGAAGGCAGCCCCCUGGGCUGACACUGACGCUCAUGCACGAAAGCGUGGGGAGCAAACAGG